UGGGGAAUAUUGCACAAUGGGCGCAAGCCUGAUGCAGCCAUGCCGCGUGUAUGAAGAAGGCCUUCGGGUUGUAAAGUACUUUCAGCGGGGAGGAAGGUGUUGUGGUUAAUAACCACAGCAAUUGACGUUACCCGCAGAAGAAGCACCGGCUAACUCCGUGCCAGCAGCCGCGGUAAUA
RNAcentral lists this ribosomal RNA (178 nucleotides) under uncultured bacterium. Its description in RNAcentral is "partial 16S ribosomal RNA". It matches the Rfam family "Bacterial small subunit ribosomal RNA", at positions 355 to 525 of the family's 1533-position model. The record is from RNAcentral.